GAUGAACGCUGGCUACAGGCUUAACACAUGCAAGUCGAGGGGAAACGACGGGGAAGCUUGCUUCCCCGGGCGUCGACCGGCGCACGGGUGAGUAACGCGUAUCCAACCUGCCUCUGACUGAGGGAUAACCCGUCGAAAGUCGGCCUAAUACCUCAUGGCAUCGUCUGCGGGCAUCCAACGACGAUUAAAGAUUUCAUCGGUCAGGGAUGGGGAUGCGUCUGAUUAGCUUGUUGGCGGGGUAACGGCCCACCAAGGCUACGAUCAGUAGGGGUUCUGAGAGGAAGGUCCCCCACAUUGUAACUGAGACACGGUCCAAACUCCUACGGGAGGCAGCAGUGAGGAAUAUUGGUCAAUGGGCGGGAGCCUGAACCAGCCAAGUAGCGUGCAGGAUGACGGCCCUAUGGGUUGUAAACUGCUUUUAUGCGGGGAUAAAGUGAGGGACGUGUCCUUCAUUGCAGGUACCGCAUGAAUAAGGACCGGCUAAUUCCGUG
Molecule: ribosomal RNA, 491 nt
Filed under: uncultured bacterium
Lineage: Bacteria
Description: partial 16S ribosomal RNA
Rfam family: Bacterial small subunit ribosomal RNA
Source: RNAcentral